RNAcentral lists this long non-coding RNA (811 nucleotides) under Pan troglodytes (chimpanzee). Its description in RNAcentral is "long non-coding RNA NONPTRT012519". The record is from RNAcentral. Lineage: Eukaryota; Metazoa; Chordata; Mammalia; Primates; Hominidae.
GAAGACGUGCAUUUGACCGCUCCUCCCUCCGCGUUGGAGGCGGAAUAGUGGGUUUUGCUGCAACCGGUUUAUUUUCCUUCUGUUUUCACCCAUUCGGGCACAAUCUGGCGCCAUCGUCCUUCUUGUGAGGCCAAGCCUGAAAAUGCGAAGCAGAGAGGCAGGACCAAAAUUGAGGCGAAUCCGGGAACCUGCCAAUGGGUCUCCGGGUGCGGUCUCUGAAACUGGAGGAUAUCGGGAGGAAAGGCUCUCCGAUGCGGAGAUAAUGGGGAAGCUCUUGGCAUGGUUGGCUGUAGGUAUGUGAUACCGGAGGAGCAGGAGUCAAAUAGGAUACGCCGACUUUUAAUUCAAGGAACCCUUUUCUGAAACACUUUGCCACAAUGAAGGAAAUAAGGUAAGGUUCUUGGGGCUCCUCAGUAGUAAUAGGGGCAGGGGACAAGGGGCAAUUAAGUGGUUUUGGUUGGGAAUGAGGCAUUAUGAAUAGCUUUCAGGAGAUAGAGCUUAGAACAAUGUCUUAGUUAUAAGUUCUUAUGUUUGAGGAAGAGAUUUCAAUUUGCUUAAAGAAGGAAACGGGCCAGUGGGUUUUUGUCUCUGAGAAGGAGAUCCUUAGCAUACAGAAAACAGAGAAGGGUUUGCAACUUUUCCGUUUCUUUGUAUAGCACACAAAAAUAAUUCCAAAUAUCCAGGCCUAACCAGAUUGCUUCUUUUUCCCCUUUGUGUUUACUUUGUCCAGAUUACAGCCGAAGAUACAUAUUAAGGAAUUGUACUCUCAGAGAUGUUGAGAAAAGAUACAUGGGUCUUGGAAGAUAAUUAC